UACGUAGGGCGCAAGCGUUAUCCGGAAUUAUUGGGCGUAAAGAGCUCGUAGGCGGUUUGUCGCGUCUGCCGUGAAAGUCCGGGGCUCAACUCCGGAUCUGCGGUGGGUACGGGCAGACUAGAGUGAUGUAGGGGAGACUGGAAUUCCUGGUGUAGCGGUGGAAUGCGCAGAUAUCAGGAGGAACACCGGUGGCGAAGGCGGGUCUCUGGGCAGUAACUGACGCUGAGGAGCGAAAGCUAGGGGAGCAAACGGG
This 253-nucleotide ribosomal RNA is filed under the name uncultured bacterium. Its description in RNAcentral is "partial 16S ribosomal RNA". It matches the Rfam family "Bacterial small subunit ribosomal RNA", at positions 524 to 776 of the family's 1533-position model. The record is from RNAcentral.